AGAACGAACGCUGGCGGCAUGCCUAAUACAUGCAAGUCGAACGAACACUUCGGUGUUAGUGGCGCACGGGUGCGUAGCGCGUGGGAAUCUGCCCUUGGGUUCGGAAUAACAGUUGGAAACGACUGCUAAUACCGGAUGAUAUCGAAAGAUCAAAGAUUUAUCGCCCAGGGAUGAGCCCGCGUAGGAUUAGCUAGUUGGUGAGGUAAAGGCUCACCAAGGCGACGAUCCUUAGCUGGUCUGAGAGGAUGAUCAGCCACACUGGGACUGAGACACGGCCCAGACCUCCGUACGGGAGGCAGCAGUAGGGAAUAGUGGACAAGUGGGCGCAAGCCUGAUCCAGCAAGUCGCCGCGUGAGUGAUGGAAGGUCGUUAGGGUUAGUAAGUCUUCGUUUACCGAGAGUAG
This 403-nucleotide ribosomal RNA is filed under the name uncultured soil bacterium. Its description in RNAcentral is "bacterial SSU rRNA". It matches the Rfam family "Bacterial small subunit ribosomal RNA", at positions 26 to 449 of the family's 1533-position model. The record is from RNAcentral.